RNAcentral lists this ribosomal RNA (371 nucleotides) under uncultured organism. RNAcentral describes it as "bacterial SSU rRNA". It matches the Rfam family "Bacterial small subunit ribosomal RNA", at positions 526 to 896 of the family's 1533-position model. The record is from RNAcentral.
CGUAGGGUGCGAGCGUUAAUCGGAAUUACUGGGCGUAAAGCGUGCGCAGGCGGUUCGUUGUGUCGGUGGUGAAAGCCCCGGGCUUAACCUGGGAAUGGCCAUGGAAACUGGCGAACUGGAGUGUGGCAGAGGGGGGUGGAAUUCCGCGUGUAGCAGUGAAAUGCGUAGAGAUGCGGAGGAACACCGAUGGCGAAGGCAGCCCCCCUGGGCUAGCACUGACGCUCAGGCACGAAAGCGUGGGGAGCAAACAGGAUUAGAUACCCUGGUAGUCCACGCCCUAAACCAUGUCAACUGGGUGUUCGGGAAGCGAUUUCUGAGUACCGUAGCUAACGCGUGAAGUUGACCGCCUGGGGAGUACGGCCGCAAGGUUA